UCGAUUUACCUUCGGGUAAUGAGGAUGGCGGACGGGUGAGUAACGCGUAAGGAACUUGCCUCUUGGUCUGGGACAACUGUUGGAAACGACAGCUAAUACCGGAUAUUAUGAGAUUCUCGCAUGGGAAACUUAUGAAAGCUAUAUGCGCCAAGAGAGAGCCUUGCGUUCCAUUAGCUAGUUGGUGGGGUAACGGCCCACCAAGGCGACGAUGGAUAGCCGGCCUGAGAGGGUGAACGGCCACAAGGGGACUGAGACACGGCCCUUACUCCUACGGGAGGCAGCAGUGGGGAAUAUUGGACAAUGGGCCACAAGCCUGAUCCAGCAAUUCUGUGUGCACGAUGAAGGUCUUCGGAUUGUAAAGUGCUUUCAGUUGGGAAGAAGAAAGUGACGGUACCAACAGAAGAAGCGACGGCUAAAUACGUGCCAGCAGCCGCGGUAAUACGUAUGUCGCAAGCGUUAUCCGGAUUUAUUGGGCGUAAAGCGCGUCUAGGCGGAAAAAUAAGUCUGAUGUUAAAAUGCGGGGCUCAACUCCGUAUUGCGUUGGAAACUGUUUUUCUAGAGUACUGGAGAGGUGGGCGGAACUACAAGUGUAGAGGUGAAAUUCGUAGAUAUUUGUAGGAAUGCCGAUGGAGAAGUCAGCUCACUGGACAGAUACUGACGCUGAAGCGCGAAAGCGUGGGGAGCAAACAGGAUUAGAUACCCUGGGUAGUCCACGCCGUAAACGAUGAUCACU
Molecule: ribosomal RNA, 733 nt
Filed under: uncultured bacterium
Lineage: Bacteria
Description: bacterial SSU rRNA
Rfam family: Bacterial small subunit ribosomal RNA
Source: RNAcentral